This 255-nucleotide ribosomal RNA is filed under the name uncultured bacterium. RNAcentral's name for it is "partial 16S ribosomal RNA". It matches the Rfam family "Bacterial small subunit ribosomal RNA", at positions 524 to 775 of the family's 1533-position model. The record is from RNAcentral.
UACAUGGGGUGCAAACGUUGCUCGGAAUUAUUGGGCGUAAAGCGCACGUAGGCGGUUCGUUAAGUCGGAUGUGAAAGCCCUCGGCUCAACUGAGGAAGUGCACCCGAAACUGGCGAGCUUGAGUACGAAAGAGGAUCGCGGAAUUCCCGGUGUAGAGGUGAAAUUCGUAGAUAGUCGGGGAGGAACACCAAUGGCGAAGGCAGCUCGCUGGGACGGUACUGACGGCUGAGGCGCGAAAGCGUGGGGAGCAACAGG